Molecule: ribosomal RNA, 2095 nt
Filed under: marine sediment metagenome
Description: bacterial LSU rRNA
Rfam family: Bacterial large subunit ribosomal RNA
Source: RNAcentral
UUAAGCUAGUAAGGGUAGUUGGUGGAUGCCUUGGUGUCGACAGGCGAUGAAGGACGUGACAAGCUGCGAUAAGCUUCGGGUAGCUGCAAAUAAGCGUUGAUCCGGAGAUUUCCGAAUGGGGAAACCCGAUGAGGCAAACCCUCAUCAUCUUCUUGAUGAAUAUAUAGUCUUGAGGAAGCUAACGGGGAGAACUGAAACAUCUUAGUACCCCCAGGAAUAGAAAGUAAAAACGAUUUCCUAAGUAGCGGCGAGCGAACGGGAAACAGCCUAAACCGAGUCGUACGUUAAAGCCUGCAUGUGUUGUGCGACCGGUGUCGUGGGAUCUGAUCUGACCCGUAUGCAGAGAGGGUCGAAGAGUUACAAACUCGUCUUCUAGCCGAAUCAUCUGGAAAGUUAAACCAAAGUGGGUGACAGUCCCGUAGGCGAAAGAAGAGCGAGCUCUUCCGAUCAGGCUCCCGAGUACCAUGGAACACGAGAAAUUUUGUGGGAAUUUGUGUGGACCACCACAUAAGGCUAAAUACUCGUCGAUGACCGAUAGUGAACUAGUACCGUGAGGGAAAGGUGAAAAGAACCCCUGACGGGGAGUGAAAUAGUACCUGAAACCAGUUACCUACAAGCAGUGGGAGGCUCGUGUCCUUCGGGACAUGUGGCUGACCGCGUGCCUUUUGCAUAAUGAUCCGGCGAGUUAAUCUAUGUAGCGAGGUUAAGUGGAGUCACCACGGAGCCGUAGCGAAAGCGAGUCCUAACUGGGCGAUUUAGUUGCAUGGAUUAGACCCGAAACCAGGUGAUCUACCCAUGGCCAGGAUGAAGCGCAAGUAAAAUUGCGUGGAGGUCCGAACCGUAGAAGGAUGAAAACUUCCCGGAUGAGCUGUGGGUAGGGGUGAAAGGCCAAUCAAACCUGGAAAUAGCUGGUUCUCCCCGAAAUAGUUUUAGGACUAGCCUCGUGUGAUGAAUUGCGGAGGUAGAGCACUGACUGGACUAGGGGUCCUACAAGACUACCAAACCCAAUCAAACUCCGAAUGCCGUUUAUUUUAACACGGGAGUCAGGCUGCGGGGGAUAAGCUCCGUAGCCGAGAGGGAAACAACCCAGACCAUCAGCUAAGGCCCCUAAAUAUAUGCUAAGUGAGAAAGGAUGUGAAUUUGCACAGACAACUGGGAUGUUGGCUUGGAAGCAGCCAUCAUUUAAAGAAAGCGUAACAGCUCACCAGUCAAGUGGAUUCGCGCCGAUAAUAGUCGGGACUAAAGCAUAUUGCCGAAGCUAUGGAUUCGUUCGAUCUUCGGAUCGGGCGUCUGGUAGGGGAGCGUUCUGUUAACGGCUGAAGCCGUAUCGUGAGAUAUAGUGGACGAAACAGAAGUGAUUAUGCCGGAAUGAGUAGCGAUAAAACAGGCGAGAAACCUGUUCACCGAAAGCCUAAGGUUUCCUGAGGAAGGCUAAUCCGCUCAGGGUAAGUCGGCCCCUAAGGUGAGGCUGAAAAGCGUAAUCGAUGGGAAUCCGGUUAAAAUUCCGGAACCACUAUAGAUGUGUUUGAGCUAUGGGGUGACGCAGGAGUGAAAGGUCAGCCAGCUGAUGGAAUAGCUGGUCCAAGCGGGUAGGAGGAUCGUCCAGGUAAAUCCAGACGGUCUUAACUCCGAGACGCGAUAGCGAGCGCUUUGCGCACAAAGUGGCCCUAAUCAUACUGCCAAGAAAAACCUCUAUGUGAAUGUCUGUAGUGACCGUACCGUAAACCGACACAGGUAGGCGAGGAGAGAAUCCUAAGGUGCUCGAGCGAACUCUUGUUAAGGAACUCGGCAAAAUGACCCCGUAACUUCGGGAGAAGGGGUGCCUUCAUCGGCGAUCUUCCCUUGCGGAAGUAAGCUAGUGGAGGCCGCAGAGAAACGGCCUGGGCGACUGUUUACUAAAAACAUAGGUCUAUGCAAAGUCGCAAGACGACGUAUAUGGACUGACACCUGCCCGGUGCUGGAAGGUUAAGGGGAUGCGUCAGGUUUAAUUUAUUAUUCCGAAGCGUUGAACUGAAGCCCCAGUAAACGGCGGCCGUAACUAUAACGGUCCUAAGGUAGCGAAAUUCCUUGUCGGGUAAGUUCCGACCUGCACGAA